AGCGUCUGCGUUGCCAAGGGCUAAAAUAGAAUAUUUCUGAAGCAGAUCUCGCUGCAAGUCCUGCCUCUCCCAUCUCUUCAAUGGUUUACAGAAGGAGGUACCCAAGUGCCAUCUCCUCAUUGGUUAUACCCACGUGGGUGAUUGAAAGACAAACUGUUUUGCCGGUCGUCAUGGUAAUACUAUGAAAGUUUAAAUGCUAAUCACCAUAUAACUUCAAAGAUGAAAAAGCCUGGAAGGAGGAGAGAUGAAUAGAAACGAUUCGGUUGAUCGUUUUAUGUGUGGAUUGAUUGUCGGAGUAGAGGACCUUGUGCCUUUCAGCAGCUGGAUUUGGGUUCCCUGUGUGUUCAUCCCCAGGGUGAGUGGUCUAGCUCUAGUGUUUGUUGUUUUUCCAUUAUCGUUAUGUUCUCAUUUUUCGAGUAAAGUAUUUACGUUUAUCCUGAAUCAUUGAUUCCUCGUCUGGUCCGUUCUCUGCACCUGGGUCCAACCACAUCACAAGUACAGAGACACAGUGGAGCUGAAUGAAGCGUGGGACUAAAAACCAACAACAGAGAACCUUUGUAAAAAAAAAUACACUGUGACUUUAAAAUGUAUAUAGUAUGUAUAUGCUGGAAGUAGAAGCUUAAGUGUUAUUGUCUAUUAGUUU
Long non-coding RNA from Oncorhynchus tshawytscha (Chinook salmon), 643 nucleotides. The record is from Ensembl. Lineage: Eukaryota; Metazoa; Chordata; Actinopteri; Salmoniformes; Salmonidae.